This 1029-nucleotide long non-coding RNA is filed under the name Elaeis guineensis (African oil palm). RNAcentral's name for it is "long non-coding RNA (EGUI_LNC039765)". The record is from RNAcentral. Lineage: Eukaryota; Viridiplantae; Streptophyta; Magnoliopsida; Arecales; Arecaceae.
AACAGAUGUGCUUGAGAGGAUGUUGAAGAUCUUUCUAAAAUUUGGUGGGCUCACGACACUCGUAGCUCACCUUCUCACUUUCCGAACUCCAGGCUGAAACCCUGAAGAACUCACUGAAACCCUGCGCACACUUUUUCUUUCUUUUCUUUCUUUUUCUCUCGGAAGGAUAUAGACCUUCACCUUGUACACAAAGAUUCCUCACGCUCAGAUUUUCUCUCCAAAAUUUUUCUUGCACAUGCCCCACUCUUCUCCUCCUUUUAAAACAAUAUCAAACGUCUUAUCCAUGUGAGAGGAUAAAGAUGAGUAAUUGCACAUUUGAAUUCAAAUCAAAUUUUGAAUUCAAAUGGAAACCAAUUUAUUCCUAUCCACUAAGGGUGUGAGAAGAGGAGGGCAUGGCUUAAUUUGUGCAUGAGUGAUUUCAUGAGAAAUAUUUUCUCGUGUAAUAAAUAGGGCGUUAAAAGAGGAUAAGGUCAAGGUGCUAAGAUUGGUUGCUCAUUCAAAUUCAAACUUUGUUUUGAAUUUGAAUGGCCAACCAAUCAUCCUUAUCCACUCAUAUGGUGUAUUAAAGUAGGGCAUGAGGAGGGCUUUGCAUGAGAAAAAAUUCAUGAGAACUUCCUUCUCGUGAAUUCAAAUGGGCACAAUGGAAGUGAGGUGGCGUAGGGAGAAUGGGUCAAGGUGGUUUCAUUAUUUAAACCAACCUAAUUGAACCAAAUAAGUUAGGCCCAAUUAGACUAAUUUAAACCCAACUUAAUUAAGCUUAAUUAGGCUCAAUAAAAUUUUAAUCAAAUCAAGAAUUGAUUAAGCCCAACCCCUGAUCAUAUCAGGAACCAAACCAUCUCGACGAUUAGGUCAACUCUUAACCUAAUCAGGUCAAACCCAACUGAAUCCAAUUCAAUUGGACUUGAUCCAAAAAUAAUUACUCAAUCAAAUUGAGUUAAUUAGCGAUCAAAUCACUAAUUAAAUCUCUCAUAAAUAUUGAGUCCAAAUUCGAUGGGUAAUCAGGCAUCAGAAUUCAUCGAUAUGUAGCCC